Molecule: ribosomal RNA, 448 nt
Filed under: uncultured bacterium
Lineage: Bacteria
Description: bacterial SSU rRNA
Rfam family: Bacterial small subunit ribosomal RNA
Source: RNAcentral
UUUCGAAUCAUUCACAAUGGGCGAAAGCCUGAUGGUGCGACGCCGCGUGGGGGAUGAAGGUCUUCGGAUUGUAAACCCCUGUCACCGGGGAAGAAACGCUUCAAUUUAAUAGAUUGAAGCCUGACUUAACCCGGAGAGGAAGCAGUGGCUAACUCUGUGCCAGCAGCCGCGGUAAUACAGAGACUGCAAGCGUUAUUCGGAUUCACUGGGCGUAAAGGGUGCGCAGGCGGCCAAGUGUGUUAGAUGUGAAAUCCCGGGGCUCAACCCCGGAACUGCGUCUAAAACUACUUGGCUAGAGCAUUGGAGAGGGUAGCGGAAUUCACGGUGUAGCAGUGAAAUGCGUAGAUAUCGUGAGGAACACCAGAGGCGAAGGCGGCUACCUGGACAAUUGCUGACGCUCAGGCACGAAAGCGUGGGGAGCAAAAGGGAUUAGAUACCCCCGUAGUCC